This is a long non-coding RNA of Lates calcarifer (barramundi perch), 873 nucleotides long. RefSeq lists it as uncharacterized. The transcript is spliced from 3 exons. The record is from RefSeq and is a predicted model, not a curated record. Lineage: Eukaryota; Metazoa; Chordata; Actinopteri; Centropomidae.
GGAAAUCUAUUCAUUGCCAUGGUAACCUCCUUGAUCUCCCGUGUAUCUGGGACCUCCUCUAUCCGUUUUUUUCGUUACUGGGUUUGCCUCUAAUGCGCUGAAAAAUGUUUAGCAGCGUGCCACAGGAAGUUAGCAUAAGAACGAAUUAGCAAACGUUUUUACGUCAUAUUUAGCUAAGAUUGGUAGCAUGCUAGCAAUGUAACAGAGUGCACGAGUAGUGGUUCAUACCAUUUUGACAAAACAUUUCACAAAACUGGCUACACACCUGGCAAACGAACCUCCUUACUGUCAUAACGCCUCGUGUAAGGCUGGUCGGCAAAAAAUAGACGAACUUAGCGACUAGGUUGGCUCUUCUAUCCGUCCGUAAUGACGUGCAUUUCCUUGCAUUGAACACUAGGGGGUGUACUCCGUAUAUUAUACAGAAUUUCGUACACGAAGCUAAACUGUGGCAACUACGCAGGAGUCGGUGUUACAAAUUGGUAUUGGUAUUGGUUAGCAUGCUAACUUCAGUUGAAGAAAGCAAGUGAUAGAAAAAGAAGCAAAACAAGCAUUAACAUUGGCGUUACUUUCCACCACUGGAGACAGCUUUUGGCGAGUAAAGGAAAGACGUUUGAUGCUCGCAACAGUUCUUCUAGACUGAUCUCCACGUCAACCAAGAAAACUCAAUUCACCGAUGACAGCCAUGAGAGAUGACAGAAAACGCCACUGAAUUUCCAAGAAAUGAAGCUCAUGAGGAGGUUCACGCAGAGGACAAAAAGUUUUAGUCAGUGGAAGCAAACCAAGAAGAGAGGUAAUGUGUUAAAUCAACAUGGGUUAGUCAUUAAUCUAAAGUAAUGAACAUGCAUUCUGCAAGAUAACACAUCUCCAUGUAGG